This 23-nucleotide small nuclear RNA is filed under the name Arabidopsis thaliana (thale cress). Its description in RNAcentral is "snRNA_09513". The record is from RNAcentral. Lineage: Eukaryota; Viridiplantae; Streptophyta; Magnoliopsida; Brassicales; Brassicaceae.
AUAUAUGUCAUUUUUAUGUAGUU